GGGUCAGUAGGUUGGUCGUGCCACCGGUACGUACUGGUCUCGCUGAUUCCUCCUUCCUGAAGAACCGUAAUGCCAUCAAUUUGGUGUUGCGGGGAAACAGGACUGUUACUUUGAAAAAAUUAGAGUGUUUAAAGCAAGCUAACGCUUGAAUACAUUAGCAUGGAAUAAUGAAAUAGGACGAUCGAUCCUAUUUUGUUGGUUUCUAGGAUUGACGUA
This 216-nucleotide ribosomal RNA is filed under the name Glomeromycotina sp. Its description in RNAcentral is "partial small subunit ribosomal RNA". The stretch from base 44 to 216 matches the Rfam family "Eukaryotic small subunit ribosomal RNA", at positions 690 to 864 of the family's 1831-position model. The record is from RNAcentral. Lineage: Eukaryota; Fungi; Glomeromycota.